CAGAGGCACCUGCGAUAGCUGCGCGAAAAUCAGUCGCGACCGUUUAAUUGUCAGUACGUUUUCGUAUUCCGCUAUGAACGAUCAACGUGAUUUCAAACGACGCGACGCGACGUGGAAACGUACGCCAUGAAAAGAAGUAAGGAAAAAUGAUAUAACAAUGUAUUGUCACGACCAGGCAGCAUAACAACGGAAAACCGAGUUUGAAAAUGUGUCAAGUCCGGUAUAUAUAAACUUGGCUAAUUACCGACUAGAAACAUAUGAAUGAACACCCAGCAGAAGAUUCAAUUUCGCGAACAGAAACAAUUCGAGACGCUGAAAGAAAAAACCGAUUCGAAACUAGCUUAAAUUGCAACGGAGCACGUUUAUGCAUUCCGAUUCGUUUGGCUGUCGAAGCUUCGAUACUACAGAAACAACAACCAGUUUAUAAGGCAGCCUCUGACCGACAAACAACACGUCUUCCAACGAAACAGAGAUACACCCAUCCUUCAAUUUGUGCAGAGUAUCCGUUCCACGUGGAUUCGUUUUACGCGAUUGAAAAUCGCAUAAAUAAUGUCUGUCAGUAGAAAAGAAAAAAUAUGUACGCAGAUGAUGACUAGCACAACGUAAUGUACUUUUAUCCUAACCUCAUACAGCAUUAUUGUAUACAUUACUGUAUACACUUGUUACUUUUAAAAUUUCUAGAAAAAUAUAUUUUCUGGUCGCGUAAAUUAAAAUCGCAUAAAAAAAGUACCGCGUAAAUGGAGCGACGGGUGUACGCGGUCGUUUGAAACGUUAGCUUCGCCUCUGUUCGAUCGAUUGUUCUCCGACUUUGUAUUGUUCAUGUGGUUCAAGGGUUUCAGGCCGACUCAUCGACCAACUGACUUUUAGAACUCACGAACCAAACAGCCAUCUCCUCAAGCCGAAGAGACACAGAGAGCAGUACGUUUCAUUAUGUCCAAGUAUCCGUUAGAAAAUGACGUUUCUGUUCGAACACGUAUUAUCAUGAAACUAUUGUAACCUCCGUAUAUGCUUACUUCUUCUUGCAUUAAGAUGUUAAAACUAUUUUAAAUCGCCAAAAAUUGUCGCUGUUAUAUAAGAUCAUUUUAAUUAACGAUGUAUGUGCUUUCUGCUCUAUUGUGCUUUGCAAAUAGAUUAGGCUGUUGUUACAAUGAACGCGAAUUCGCGCAAACUAUCGCUCUGAUAACUGAAAGAUCUGAAGACCAUAAUUAGUUCAUUAAUAAGAAUCUAUGUAUGUAUAUACGUACAUAUUUGAUUGCUUUAACAUAUUGAGUUUGUCAGAACGCCAGUUCGAGAAAAUUCGCGUCCACUGUGAACUACAGGUUUAUAGCAGUUUUAAUUAAUUUAAUAAAGAAGUUCCGAAAUGUAUAUUUUUACAUUCCACAUACUAUUUAAUGAAAAAAUCCGUUAUUUCUGCUGCAUUAUGUAAGAAGUAUAUAAUAUGCAUAUUACAGCAACGAACAAUUUUAUCGCGAAACAUUCAUGAUAAUCGUUUUUCCUCUACGUUACUAUCACUAAAUGAUAUAAUUAUAAACAAUAUUUAUCCAUAUCUCUUAUACACGUGUCCAUUCGAUCUAACGUAAAUAACGCUUCUAUAAUAUUCCUCAAAAUGUAAUACUGAAAGGCGAAUGAAUUUACAUGUUACACAACCUAAUAUUAACCUUACGAAAAAUUCAGAAUAAACACAGAAUUUAAUAAUCUUUUUAUUGCUAAAAUUGUUUUGCAUUACCAUACAAAAAAUUCAUAUUUUCAACUGUUUAAAAACAACAAACUUUAAUAAUUGCGAUAAAUGUGUAAUAACAUUUAAGAUGUGAAAAUAGCAUUUAUCGAUUCCUACUUAUUAUGUUACGUAGUGAAGGGAUUAAACUAAUGAAACGACGAUUGAAUAUGUCCUUUUCUGUGCUGUAAUAGAAGAUGUUCAUUGACUGUAUGUAAAGCUAUUUACUAUUUCUCUAUAAUAAUUAUAUAAGUACAUAAUAUUAUGGCAAUAAUAUGAUCAUGAAACGAAUAAUGAUAAUAUUGUGCAGUGAUGAAAUGACAACUGCGUUGAAUACAUUCAGAACUUAAUUCAUACUGUUUUAAAACCUAACUCCGAGUUAGUUUUACAGAAUAUGUGUAGCAAUAUGAACCUCACAGUAUUUCAUGGUAUAAAUAAAUAGGUAUGCAUAAAUUCAAGAAGGAAAUGAUGUACAUGGAAAGAAGAUGAGGGUAAGGAAUCUACCGUGAUGUGAAUAUUACUCGAUUAUUCGUUGAACAGCUACUUGUUGCGCAAUAAUACGACGUAAAUUAGAUAUAAUGAGUACAUUCUAUUCAACAAGUUAUCUAGAUUCAUGCACUUUCUCUUCCUAUUUCAGGCAUAGUUGUCGAUGUUUUAUACUCAACCAAUGUUAUAUUCGGCGUAAAGUAAUUAGUUUUUUAGGAAAAUGUAAUAUGAAUGAAUUUUUUACAAAAGGUACUUUGCUUCAACAAAUUAUUAAAUUUUCUCUCUGUUAUAUUUGGGAAUUAAAGUUUUUUGUGCUAAGGAUCGAGAAUAAAACGAAAAUACAAAGAAUUAUAGUAUACAUAAUUUUCCAUCUAUUACUUUAGAGAGUAAAUACAGAUUAUAGUAAAGAAUGUCCGCCGUGUGGUUUCA
This is a long non-coding RNA of Bombus pyrosoma, 2629 nucleotides long. RefSeq lists it as uncharacterized. Lineage: Eukaryota; Metazoa; Arthropoda; Insecta; Hymenoptera; Apidae. The transcript has 4 exons. The record is from RefSeq and is a predicted model, not a curated record.